UACGUAGGCAGCGAGCGUUGUUCGGAGUUACUGGGCGUAAAGGGUGUGUAGGCGGUUGUUUAAGUUUGGUGUGAAAUCUCCCGGCUCAACUGGGAGGGUGCGCCGAAUACUGAAUGACUUCGAGUGCGGGAGAGGAAAGUGGAAUUCCUGGUGUAGCGGUGAAAUGCGUAGAUAUCUGGAGGAACACCGGUGGCGAAGGCGGCAUCCUGGACCGACAUUGACGCUGAGGCGCGAAAGCCAGGGGAGCGAACGGG
This 254-nucleotide ribosomal RNA is filed under the name uncultured bacterium. Its description in RNAcentral is "partial 16S ribosomal RNA". It matches the Rfam family "Bacterial small subunit ribosomal RNA", at positions 524 to 776 of the family's 1533-position model. The record is from RNAcentral.